Molecule: non-coding RNA, 2789 nt
Organism: Biomphalaria pfeifferi
Lineage: Eukaryota; Metazoa; Mollusca; Gastropoda; Planorbidae
Source: the annotation of a GenBank genome assembly
UAUAUAUAUAUAUAUAUAUAUAUAUGUUAGAUGGACUCAACUAUAUUCAUUGUAAUAUCUUCUUUUUUUUUCCUGACAAUUGGAGAAGUACGUGUGUAUUGUGAUUAGUCCCUUUUGCUCAUUUUGAACUCAUCAUGUUUUAGGCUAGGGCCGACUACUUUCAGGAUAUAUUGACAGAAGUUGUAGUCUAUGAUACUUACACUCCAGAUGUGAAUGUAGAAUGAUUACUAAAAUAGUCGUACGAUUCGAAGCUGAGAUCCGUUGGACUGGAAGUUUUAAAAGUCCUCCCAGGGUAGGCUACACGCCAUUAGCAUAUUAGUGAACUCUUGCUUCACCUGAGUAGCAGUCUCGUAGAAAAACCUUUACUUCAACAUCUAAUACAAUUUGUAGCGCUGGACCUUUCUCUCCUCUAGGGUUGGGGUUUAUUCCUGUUAGUUAGAAUUAUUAAAUGUAUCAACUUGAUAAGUUACAAUUUUCUCCUAUGAUGUAAUGUACCGGUAUUGGUAUUGUUCUAGUGUUAAAAGUGUAUAUUGGUUGUAGUGUUGAAGCAUGUGAUAGUCAUGUGAUGUCCAUGCCCAGAUUUUCUUUUUAUCUAGUUGUUCUUAUGUAUUUAUAUAUCAAUGUGUUUUUUUUUCUCUUCUCUAACUUGAGCAUUGGGUUUGAACUGCCAAUAGCUGGGGUCCCUAUGAAACAUUGAAACAAAUGAGUCUGAAUGCUAAAUUUAUUCAAAUCAAUAAAACAUUAUGCAAACUAAGUUUACCUUUUUUUUAAAAAACAAAAAAAAAUCUUAUCUGACAAAAAAAUCCAUCUUUUUUUUUUUUUUCCUGUAAGAGUGCCUUAUGUGGUUAUAAGCCGUUUUUUUUUUUUCAAAUUCAAACGAUUUGACAAAAACAAAUCAACAUGCAAAAAAAAAGUUGUUCAGCGAGAAACUUGAAACAAAAAAUAUUUCUACCAAAGUUUGUCAUUUACUAGAUGAAAUGAACUUGUUAAAAUAUAGUGUAGAUUGAUAACUAGAUGUGAAUGCUUUUUGAAAGGAUUUAUAGUUGCUUUGGACUAAAAGGCUUCGUGCUGCUAAGAAGCUCACCUUGGAAGCUCCAAACAAAUGUAGAAAUUUAUAUUAUUACUUUGUAUUGGAAUGAAUAUCUAAAUGUAAGACUCAAAUCUUUCCGUAACAACACAAUCAUGAUCAAAAUGUUGUCAUGGUGAUCUAGAAAAUCAAUGAUGAGCUUAUUUUAAAAGAAAAGACAGGCCCACCCCUAUCAUUUACAUAUUUACCUUCCCCAUAAUGCAACUAUUCAUUAAUCAUUUCCUAUAGCUCAUUAUAAUGAUAUUGAAUGAAGUUUUUUAUCUGAGAGAUUCUUAAUCUUCGUCAUUCAACUGAAUGUUUGCCUGUGACUGCCAUCAAGUUCUGUCAUUCAAUAAUAGACUUGUGUUCUGAUUAGGCCCUGAUACAACAAAUUAGCUAUUAGUCAAUUCAUUUAAAUGUAAAGAUUCAAAAUAUCACAUUCCAUUCACUUUCUUUUCCAGGUCCGAAAAUUGUCACACAACAUAUCUUCAAUUUGGGUGUUGUUAUUUUUUUUUUAUUCUUGUUAUUAUUCAAUUAAUAUAUUGCCAUGUCAUUUCUGAGAGUUAGUAUACACUAGCAAAAGAACACAAUCAAAACUCAAGAAAUAUAUAUAAACUUCUUCAUAUAUAAUAUAAGCCCUUGCCAUUUUGUCAUGAAAUCUCAAUGCAUGUCUGAUUGCUAAUUUGGAUAGCCAAGAAAUGACAGAAACCAUUUAAUGGCAAUAAUAAGAAUAUGCACAAAUCUACUCAGCUGUAAAAAAAAUAAAAUAUUAAUAAAUAAAAGGUUUUGACUGAACUGCUGAGCAGAGGAGAACUGUACUAAGAUUUGAGCAAGACCAGUUGUCAUAGUAGGCCUGAACACUGACCUGUGAUACUCAACCCUUGGUCUCCACUGGCCACAGGUUGCCACGUCACAGAUUAGUGUUUAGGCUUAUUAUAAUGAUUGAUGUCUGUUUAAGUGUAUUCGUCUCUGGUUCUCAUUGAGAUCAAAGAAUGUCAAAGCUAAUGAGGCCAGCAAACUAUUGUCAUUCUUACCAACACAUAGCAGGAAUCCAAUAGAUUUUGCUGGAUGUACUUAAUGAUCUUAUCCCAAUUAAAAAUCAAUUACUGCCAGGUUUUAGAGCUAGGACCUAUGACUGGCAACUUACCAAAAUAUCACUAAAUUUCUUUAAAUGUUAUACUCCUAUACUUGGAUUGCAUGCCAUAGUCAGCCUUACUUUCUAAAUCUGAUGUCCAGUUUGCAGUAGAUACAUGAAUAUAGGGACAUGACAAACCUUUGACUUGUUGAAUUUUGAAUCCGACUUUUAUAAACUUUUCCAUUUGGACUUUGUACUCAAAUUUACCUUGCAGAAUAGUGAGAGUCAGUUUAUCAUUCAUAUCUUAUUACUUCUUUGACUGAUGUUGUUUUUAAUAGACAUUGUAUAAUUAAACAUUUUGUUUUUGUAUUAGUAAAGUCUGUAUGUUAUAAUGUCAUUGUCUUAGAUUAGUCUGUUAUGAUUGGUUGUAAUUGAUAAUGGACAAAUAGUCUACAGCGUGAUCUUGUGUUUUGAUUGGUUCUCACUGAUGCUGUUGUAGUAGGAUCAAUAUGUGCAUGCUGUUUCUUUUGGUCUGAGCUUCUACUUGAGUUUGUGGUUUUGUGUAUUUCCCAUUUUGAUUUUGACUAUGAAAUUCAAUGCCUUUGACUAUAUACAUAUAAAAUAAAUAACAACAUAUAGAAUUAAAAG